GACGAACGCUGGCGGCGUGCUUAACACAUGCAAGUCGAACGGAAAGGCCCCCUUGUGGGGUACUCGAGUGGCGAACGGGUGAGUAACACGUGAGUAACCUACCCUUGACUUUGGGAUAACUUCAGGAAACUGGGGCUAAUACCGGAUAGGAGCUCCUGCUGCAUGGUGGGGGUUGGAAAGUUUCGGCGGUUGGGGAUGGACUCGCGGCUUAUCAGCUUGUUGGUGGGGUAGUGGCUCACCAAGGCUUUGACGGGUAGCCGGCCUGAGAGGGUGACCGGCCACAUUGGGACUGAGAUACGGCCCAGACUCCUACGGGAGGCAGCAGUGGGGAAUAUUGCACAAUGGGCGGAAGCCUGAUGCAGCAACGCCGCGUGCGGGAUGACGGCCUUCGGGUUGUAAACCGCUUUCGCCUGUGACGAAGCGUGAGUGACGGUAAUGGGUAAAGAAACACCGGCGAACUACGU
This 464-nucleotide ribosomal RNA is filed under the name uncultured bacterium. Its description in RNAcentral is "partial 16S ribosomal RNA". It matches the Rfam family "Bacterial small subunit ribosomal RNA", at positions 28 to 506 of the family's 1533-position model. The record is from RNAcentral.